This 250-nucleotide ribosomal RNA is filed under the name uncultured soil bacterium. RNAcentral's name for it is "partial 16S ribosomal RNA". It matches the Rfam family "Bacterial small subunit ribosomal RNA", at positions 26 to 285 of the family's 1533-position model. The record is from RNAcentral.
AGGAUGAACGCUGGCGGCGUGCUUAACACAUGCAAGUCACGGGGGCCCAGCAAUGGGCAACCGGCGAACGGGUGCGUAACACGUGAGCAACCUACCUAAGUGAGGGGGAUAGCCGGCCCAACGGCCGGGUAAUACCGCAUACGCUCGAAUUGAGGCAUUUUGAUUCGAGGAAACCUACGGGGCACUAUGAGGGGCUCGCGGCCUAUCAGCUAGUUGGUGAGGUAACGGCUCACCAAGGCGACGACGGGUA